RNAcentral lists this ribosomal RNA (497 nucleotides) under uncultured bacterium. RNAcentral's name for it is "partial 16S ribosomal RNA". It matches the Rfam family "Bacterial small subunit ribosomal RNA", at positions 28 to 507 of the family's 1533-position model. The record is from RNAcentral.
GAUGAACGCUGGCGGCGUGCCUAAUACAUGCAAGUCGAGCGAACAGACGAGGAGCUUGCUCCUCUGACGUUAGCGGCGGACGGGUGAGUAACACGUGGAUAACCUACCUAUAAGACUGGGAUAACUUCGGGAAACCGGAGCUAAUACCGGAUAAUAUAUUGAACCGCAUGGUUCACUAGUGAAAGACGGUUUUGCUGUCACUUAUAGAUGGAUCAGCGCCGCAUUAGCUAGUUGGUAAGGUGACGGCUUACCAAGGCAACGAUGCGUAGCCGACCUGAGAGGGUGAUCGGCCACACUGGAACUGAGACACGGUCCAGACUCCGACGGGAGGCAGCAGUAGGGAAUCUUCCGCAAUGGGCGAAAACCUGACGGAGCAACGCCGCGUGAGUGAUGAAGGUCUUCGGCUCGUAAAACUCUGUUAUUAGGGAAGAACAAAUGUGUAAGUAACUAUGCACGUCUUGACGGUACCUAAUCAGAAAGCCACGGCUAACUACGUG